GAGGAAUAUUGGUCAAUGGGCGCAAGCCUGAACCAGCCAUCCCGCGUGCAGGAAGACGGCCCUAUGGGUUGUAAACUGCUUUUCCAGGGAGAGAAACUUGCGCACGUGUUGCGCAAUUGACGGUACCCUGGGAGUAAGCAUCGGCUAACUCCGUGCCAGCAGCCGCGGUAAUACGGAGGAUGCGAGCGUUAUCCGGAUUCAUUGGGUUUAAAGGGUGCGUAGGCGGACUAUUAAGUCAGUGGUGAAAUCCUGCAGCUUAACUGCAGAACUGCCAUUGAUACUGAUAGCCUUGAGUUUGGUUAAGGUAGGCGGAAUGUGUAAUGUAGCGGUGAAAUGCUUAGAUAUUACACAGAACACCAAUUGCGUAGGCAGCUUACUGAGCCGACACUGACGCUGAGGCACGAAAGCGUGGGGAUCGAACAG
RNAcentral lists this ribosomal RNA (423 nucleotides) under uncultured bacterium. RNAcentral's name for it is "bacterial SSU rRNA". It matches the Rfam family "Bacterial small subunit ribosomal RNA", at positions 356 to 775 of the family's 1533-position model. The record is from RNAcentral.